Molecule: ribosomal RNA, 253 nt
Filed under: uncultured bacterium
Lineage: Bacteria
Description: partial 16S ribosomal RNA
Rfam family: Bacterial small subunit ribosomal RNA
Source: RNAcentral
UACGAAGGGGGCUAGCGUUGCUCGGAAUUACUGGGCGUAAAGCGCACGUAGGCGGCUUUUUAAGUCGGGGGUGAAAUCCUGGAGCUCAACUCCAGAACUGCCUUCGAUACUGGAAAGCUCGAGUCCGGGAGAGGUGAGUGGAACUGCGAGUGUAGAGGUGAAAUUCGUAGAUAUUCGCAAGAACACCAGUGGCGAAGGCGGCUCACUGGUCCGGUACUGACGCUGAGGUGCGAAAGCGUGGGGAGCAAACAGG